UGAUAGAGGUCGCGGUCGACAAGAGUAGCCCGUUUGCAGACAGGCAAGCGCAAACGGGGAAAAGGGGAGAUCGCCGAGGAGCGGAUAAGAAGCCUGAUCGAGUCCGUGUCCGGGGUCGCGGAGAACAUUCGCGGCACUGUCGCCUCCAGGGGCGGAGAGCUGUC
Molecule: non-coding RNA, 164 nt
Filed under: bovine gut metagenome
Description: Lysine riboswitch
Rfam family: Lysine riboswitch aptamer
About the family: Riboswitches are metabolite binding domains within certain messenger RNAs that serve as precision sensors for their corresponding targets. Allosteric rearrangement of mRNA structure is mediated by ligand binding, and this results in modulation of gene expression.
Source: RNAcentral